Molecule: ribosomal RNA, 400 nt
Filed under: uncultured bacterium
Lineage: Bacteria
Description: bacterial SSU rRNA
Rfam family: Bacterial small subunit ribosomal RNA
Source: RNAcentral
UAAGGAAUCUUGGUCAAUGGGGGGAACCCUGAACCAGCCAUGCCGCGUGCAGGAAGACGGUCCUCUGGAUUGUAAACUGCUUUUGUCGGGGAAUAAUAAGGCUCUAUAGGGGCUGAUGUCGGUACCCGAAGAAUAAGCACCGGCUAACUACGUGCCAGCAGCCGCGGUAAUACGUAGGGUGCAAGCGUUGUCCGGAUUUAUUGGGUUUAAAGGGUGCGCAGGCGGCUGAUUAAGUUAGUGGUGAAAGCGUCCUGCUUAACGGGAUACUCGCCAUUAAUACUGAACAGCUUGAGUAUACGUGAGGAAGUUGGAAUGCGUGGUGUAGCGGUGAAAUGCUUAGAUAUCACGCAGAACACCGAUUGCGAAGGCAGACUUCUGGCGUAAAACUGACGCUCAUGCA